UUCUUGCAACAAUAGACUAAUUUAUAAAGAAGUUUAUUCCAGAUGAAUCUAGCUCUGGACAGUUAUAAGCAAAGAAAAACUAACGGAAAAAUACAGAGGCCUGAAGAAUCACAGAGGGAAACUCAUUUGUUCCUCUGGCAGCUCUCCCCAAGGACACCUGUGAGACAAAGUCAGAAGUGGCUUCCCUGGUGACCCAGAGAGACCACAGGGCUCUUGCCGCUGCUUCCUCUACUCCCGUAUUUUGCCGAGCUCUCUAAAUUGUCUCAGCUCUAGCCUGAAUCUAUGGUUUCAUGGAGAGCUCCCUAAAAUCUGUUGACAGAGGAAGAGAAGACUUGAACCUGGUUUACAGAUGGUACUGCACAAUAUGCAGGAACCACAUGAAAGCAGGCAGUUGAAGCACUGCAGCCUCUCUCUGGGACAUCUCCUAAGAAAAAUGAGGGAGCAUCCUCCCAUCCUCCAGUCACAGAGAAAAAAGCCAUGUGAGGACACAGUGAGAAGCUGCUAUCUGCAAGCUGAGAAGAGAAACAUCACUAGAAACCAUCCCUGCUGGCACUUGAUCUUGACUUUCAGCUUUCAGAACUUUGAGAAAAUAAAUGUGUGUCGCUUAAGCCAGUUCAUCUUUAGUUAUUUUGUUAUGUCAGCCUGAGCAGAAUUAGACAAAUACUAAUAGUAAACUAUAAGGUAAACUGUAGGCUUUGGGUAAUGACGUGUCAAUAGAUUUAUCAAUUGUAACAAAUGUAUCACUGUGAUGUGGGACAUUGAUAGAGCAGGAUGUUGUGCAUGUGUGGGCUGUGUGGGAGCAAAUCAUAUAUGGGAAUUCUCUUAACAUUCUAUUGAAUUUUUCUAAGAACUUACAACUGAUCUAAAAAUAAAGUCUGUUUUUUUAAAAAAUAAUUGAUUUUCCGUCAUAUUAACAGAAUAAAGAAAAAAAUCACAUAGUCAUGUCAAUUUCUGCAGAAAAAUCAAUUGAUAAAAUUCAACUUUUAUUUAUAAUAAAACUUCUUAGCAC
This 1009-nucleotide long non-coding RNA is filed under the name Homo sapiens (human). RNAcentral describes it as "HSALNT0284095". The record is from RNAcentral. Lineage: Eukaryota; Metazoa; Chordata; Mammalia; Primates; Hominidae.